CCCUUAGAUGUCCUGGGCCGCACGCGCGCUACACUGAUGCAUUCAACGAGCUUAUAACCUUGGCCGAGAGGCCUGGGCAAUCUUGUUAACGUGCAUCGUGAUAGGGAUAGAUUAUUGAAAUUAUUAAUCUUGAACGAGGAAUUCCUAGUAAACGCAGAUCAUCAAUCUGCAUUGAUUACGUCCCUGCCCUUUGUACACACCGCCCGUCGCACCUACCGAUUGGAUGGUCUGGUGAAGCCUCGGGAUUGUGGUUCUUGCCGCUUUAUUGUGGCGUGACCGCGAGAACUUGUCUAAACCUUAUCAUCUAGAGGAAGGUGAAGUCGUAACA
This 328-nucleotide ribosomal RNA is filed under the name uncultured eukaryote. RNAcentral's name for it is "partial 18S ribosomal RNA". It matches the Rfam family "Eukaryotic small subunit ribosomal RNA", at positions 1470 to 1796 of the family's 1831-position model. The record is from RNAcentral.